This 253-nucleotide ribosomal RNA is filed under the name uncultured bacterium. RNAcentral's name for it is "partial 16S ribosomal RNA". It matches the Rfam family "Bacterial small subunit ribosomal RNA", at positions 524 to 776 of the family's 1533-position model. The record is from RNAcentral.
UACGAAGGGUGCAAGCGUUACUCGGAAUUACUGGGCGUAAAGCGUGCGUAGGUGGUUGUUUAAGUCUGUUGUGAAAGCCCUGGGCUCAACCUGGGAAUUGCAGUGGAUACGGGCAGGCUGGAGGCAGGCAGGGGAGAACGGAAUUCCCGGUGUAGCGGUGAAAUGCGCAGAUAUCGGGAGGAACACCGGUGGCGAAGGCGGCUUCCUGGUCUGCGACUGACGCUGUGGCGCGAAAGCUAGGGGAGCAAACGGG